Molecule: ribosomal RNA, 176 nt
Filed under: Physacanthus nematosiphon
Lineage: Eukaryota; Viridiplantae; Streptophyta; Magnoliopsida; Lamiales; Acanthaceae
Description: 5.8S ribosomal RNA
Rfam family: 5.8S ribosomal RNA (bases 9-163)
About the family: 5.8S ribosomal RNA (5.8S rRNA) is a component of the large subunit of the eukaryotic ribosome. It is transcribed by RNA polymerase I as part of the 45S precursor that also contains 18S and 28S rRNA.
Source: RNAcentral
GUCAAAACGACUCUCGGUAACGGAUAUCUCGGCUCUCGCAUCGAUGAAGAACGUAGCGAAAUGCGAUACUUGGUGUGAAUUGCAGAAUCCCGUGAACCAUCAGUCUUUGAACGCAAGUUGCGCCCGAAGCCAUCAGGCCGAGGGCACGUCUGCCUGGGCGUCACGCAUCGCGUCGC